Molecule: ribosomal RNA, 524 nt
Filed under: uncultured bacterium
Lineage: Bacteria
Description: bacterial SSU rRNA
Rfam family: Bacterial small subunit ribosomal RNA
Source: RNAcentral
UUAGGACGAACGCUGGCGGCGUGCCUAAUACAUGCAAGUCGAACGGUCCUUUCUAUGGAAGCUUGCUUCCACUGAGAAGAUAGUGGCGAACGGGUGAGUAACACGUGGGGUAACCUGCCCAUAAGAGGGGGGAUAACAUCCGGAAACGGGUGCUAAUACCGCAUAGUUUUCUUGAUUGCAUGAUUGAGAAAGGAAAGACGGCCUUUGUGCUGUCGCUUAUGGAUGGACCCGCGGCGUAUUAGUUAGUUGGUGAGGUAACGGCUCACCAAGACGAUGAUACGUAGCCGACCUGAGAGGGUGAUCGGCCACAUUGGGACUGAGACACGGCCCAAACUCCUACGGGAGGCAGCAGUAGGGAAUCUUCCGCAAUGGACGAAAGUCUGACGGAGCAACGCCGCGUGAGUGAAGAAAGGUUUUCGGAUCGUAAAACUCUGUUGUCAGAGAAGAACAAGUUGGAGAGUAACUGCUCCAGCCUUGACGGUAUCUGACCAGAAAGCCACGGCUAACUACGUGCCAGCAGCCGC